Molecule: ribosomal RNA, 497 nt
Filed under: uncultured bacterium
Lineage: Bacteria
Description: partial 16S ribosomal RNA
Rfam family: Bacterial small subunit ribosomal RNA
Source: RNAcentral
GAUGAACGCUGGCGGCGUGCCUAAUACAUGCAAGUCGAGCGAACAGACGCGGCGCUUGCUCCUCUCUCGUUAGCCGCGGACGUGUGUGUAACACGUGUAUCACCUCCCUGUCUUACUGGGAUCACUUCGGGACUCCGGAUCUAAUACCAUAUAAGCUCUUGCACCGCAUGGGGCGAUGGUGAAAUUCGGCUUUUCUGUCUCGUCUAGCUGCAUCCCCGCCGCAUUAGCGAGUUGGUAAGGUAACGGCUUACCAAGGCAACGAGGCGUAGCCGACCUGAGAGGGUGAUCGGCGACACGGGAGGGGAGACACGGACCAGAGUCCUACGGGAGGGAGCAGUAGGGAAUGUUCGGCAACGGGCGAAAGCCUGACGGAGCAACGCCGCGUGAGUGAUGAAGGUCUUCGGAGCGUAAAACUCUGUUUUUAGGGAAGAACAAAUGUGUAAGUAACUAUGCACGGCUUGACGGUACCUAAUAAGAAAGCAACGGCUAACUACGUG